Nyctereutes procyonoides (raccoon dog) is the source of this 520-nucleotide long non-coding RNA. RefSeq lists it as uncharacterized. The record is from RefSeq and is a predicted model, not a curated record. NCBI's taxonomy places the organism in Eukaryota, Metazoa, Chordata, Mammalia, Carnivora, Canidae. The transcript has 3 exons.
UCCCCUUCUCCUUGCCUUAAGAACGAAUCCUGGAGGCACAGCAGCUGUCUUGCCACCAUGAGGCGACAAGCACAAGGACAAAAUCCAACACGGUGAGGUUGGCAGAACAGGACAAAGAACCCGAGUCUUGGAUGACCCAGCCUGGCCUGCCCCCCAUUUCCCAUCACCUUGUGAUGUGAGAAAAAUACAUCUCAGUCCAUUGGAUCCACAGGAAAGAGCAGCUUCACGGCCUCGGGUGGAAAUUGCGGCUAUACUACACCACAUCAGAAUGUGCUGUUCUCAUUUAUUUUUUAAUACAAACCCAUCUUUGCAUGUGGGCCCUGGCAAAAAAUUGGUGGUUACGAAAUAUUGACGAAGGAGGUAACAUAGGAGGGUUCCAGCAAAAUAGAGCACCCGUUCCAUUUGUUAAGUGGACAUGUCAAACUGUGUGGAAGAGCCACAGGAAGGUCCGUCCAGCUGGCCUGUGCCUGCAGCCAGCUGAUGGUGUCCCUCGGUGCCAUCGCGCUCCUUCGAGAAGCAA